GGGGGUAUAGCUCAGUGGCAGAGCAUUUGACUGCAGAUCAAGAGGUCCCUGGUUCAAAUCCCAGGUGCCCCCU
Molecule: non-coding RNA, 73 nt
Organism: Hemibagrus wyckioides
Lineage: Eukaryota; Metazoa; Chordata; Actinopteri; Siluriformes; Bagridae
Source: the annotation of a RefSeq genome assembly